AUGGAUGAUUUUGUGUCAUGGCACCAUAAUAGAAGUGGAAUAUUUUCGGUUAGAUCGACAUACCAUGAAGAGUGGGAGCAUCAACACGAACGAAAGUUGAGGAUGACUAACUCUAUACAAGCCUCAAGUACUAGUCCAGAUUGGCGUACCAUUUUGAAAUUGUGUGUGCCGACAAAAAUCAAAAUUCAUAUAUGGAAAACUUUGCUUGGCGCCAUCCCUUGUAAUGGAGUCCUUGCUAACAGGCAUAUGAUCACAAGCUCUCAAUGUCCUCUCUGCACUUCGGAUUGUGAGAGUAUUAGACAUGUCAUGUUCUUGUGCCCUAGAGUUCAAGAAAUCUGGAGGAUAUUGGGACUGCAAGAUGUGGUUGGAGGUGUGUGUGCGCUGGAGAGGGAUGGCGGAUCGGUGCUGGCUGACCUUUUUCUAUCAACGAACAAUACCAUGGCUCAUAUGACUGAUGUUCAACGCAAUGACCUUGUGGCCACUACAGUGUGGGCAAAGUCGAAGCAAGCGAAACUGAGAAGAUAUGGAUGGAGUAAGCCACCAGAGGGAGUUCUCAAACUUAACAUCGAUGCCACUUUUGAUCCUGAUAGGGGAACAGGGGGCACGGGUGCAAUCUUACAAGACGAAGCUGGUUUCUUCAUCACAGCUUCAUGCAGUAAUAUCCCUUUUGGGGAAGACGCGGCGACGGCAGAAGCUAGAGGUAUGCGAGAUGGGCUCUUACUCGCAAAUGAAGUUGUGUGCAAUAAAAUUUGCGUCGAGUCCAAUUGCAUGGAGGUCGUCGAAGUCAUGCAAGGGGGUGGUAAUUCGCUAGGCCCGGCAGCCGCAAUUUAUGAAGAAUGUUCUUUUCUUGCUAGAAAUUUUAUUUCUAUUAUGUUUUCCCACUGCCAUAGGGAGGCCAAUGCGGCGGCAAAUUUAUCGGCUACAAACUCGGAGUUCUCUCAUACAAUUGUUUGGAAAUCGGAGCCUCCGGGGUUUCUAGUAGAUGUAUUAACAAACGAUGUAUCAUUUUUUGCGCAUGAAAUAUAA
Molecule: ribosomal RNA, 1026 nt
Filed under: Triticum aestivum (bread wheat)
Lineage: Eukaryota; Viridiplantae; Streptophyta; Magnoliopsida; Poales; Poaceae
Description: partial small subunit ribosomal RNA
Source: RNAcentral